RNAcentral lists this ribosomal RNA (253 nucleotides) under uncultured bacterium. Its description in RNAcentral is "partial 16S ribosomal RNA". It matches the Rfam family "Bacterial small subunit ribosomal RNA", at positions 524 to 776 of the family's 1533-position model. The record is from RNAcentral.
UACGGAGGGUGCAAACGUUGCUCGGAAUCAUUGGGCGUAAAGCGCACGUAGGCGGACUGAUAAGUCGGAUGUGAAAUCCCUCGGCUUAACCGAGGAAGUGCAUUCGAAACUGCCAGUCUUGAGUAUGGAAGAGGGUCGCGGAAUUCCCGGUGUAGAGGUGAAAUUCGUAGAUAUCGGGAGGAACACCAGUGGCGAAGGCGGCGACCUGGGCCAAUACUGACGCUGAGGUGCGAAAGCGUGGGGAGCAAACAGG